GACGAACGCUGGCGGCGUGCUUAACACAUGCAAGUCGAACGGAAAGGCCCUGCUUUUGUGGGGUGCUCGAGUGGCGAACGGGUGAGUAACACGUGAGUAACCUGCCCUUGACUUUGGGAUAACUUCAGGAAACUGGGGCUAAUACCGGAUAGGAGCUCCUGCUGCAUGGUGGGGGUUGGAAAGUUUCGGCGGUUGGGGAUGGACUCGCGGCUUAUCAGCUUGUUGGUGGGGUAGUGGCUUACCAAGGCUUUGACGGGUAGCCGGCCUGAGAGGGUGACCGGCCACAUUGGGACUGAGAUACGGCCCAGACUCCUACGGGAGGCAGUAGUGGGGAAUAUUGCACAAUGGGCGGAAGCCUGAUGCAGCAACGCCGCGUGCGGGACGACGGCCUUCGGGUUGUAAACCGCUUUCGCCUGUGACGAAGCGUGAGUGACGGUAAUGGGUAAAGAAGCACCGGCUAACUACGUG
RNAcentral lists this ribosomal RNA (468 nucleotides) under uncultured bacterium. Its description in RNAcentral is "partial 16S ribosomal RNA". It matches the Rfam family "Bacterial small subunit ribosomal RNA", at positions 28 to 507 of the family's 1533-position model. The record is from RNAcentral.